Molecule: ribosomal RNA, 523 nt
Filed under: Catomerus polymerus
Lineage: Eukaryota; Metazoa; Arthropoda; Thecostraca; Balanomorpha; Catophragmidae
Description: partial 16S ribosomal RNA
Rfam family: Bacterial large subunit ribosomal RNA
Source: RNAcentral
UUCCUCUUAGAAUAAGAGGUAAGGCCUGCUCACUGAAAAUUGAAGAGCCGCAGUAUUUUGACUGUGCUAAGGUAGCAUAAUCAUUAGUCUUUUAAUUGGGGACUGGUAUGAAUGGCUAAACGAGAGAAUAACUUUUUUUAUUAAAAAAAUUGAAUUUAACUUUUUAGUGAAAAGGCUAAAAUGACUCAGAAAGACGAGAAGACCCUAUAGAGUUUUAUUUAGUUAUAAUAUAAGUUUUAUUAGAUUUAAAAUAACUUAUUUCUAUCACUAGAUUUUGUUGGGGCGACAUUAAGAUAAAAGAAACUCUUUAUUUUGUAAACUUAAAUUUAAGGAUUGAUUGAUCCUCUAGAAGAGAUCAAAAGAAAAAAUUACCUUAGGGAUAACAGCGUAAUCUUUUUUGAGAGUUCUAAUCGACAAAAAGGUUUGCGACCUCGAUGUUGGACUAAAAUUUAGGCAGGGUGUAGCAGUUCUGCUUUUGGGUCUGUUCGACCCGUAAUAUUUUACACGAUCUGAGUUCAGACCG